UGCAAAUUGGGUCGUCCUGAGCCAACCAGCUAGCUUAGCCCCGCAAUAUAAAUCAACAAUAUUUAUAACGAAACAAGACCGAACCCCACAAAUUAAACCAUUUUUUUACCUGAGUAUGGGAGACAGAAAAGGUUCACCCAGAGCAAUAGAGAAAGUACCGCAAGGAAAGCUGAAAGAGAAAUGAAACAACCCAUAUAAGCGCUGAAAAACAAAGACUUAACCUUGUACCUUUUGCAUCAUGAUUUAGCCAGUACCCUCAAGCGAAGAGACCUUUAGUUUGAUACCCCGAAACCAAGUGAGCUACCCCGAGACAGCCUAUAUAUUUAGGGCUAACCCGUCUCUGUGGCAAAAGAGUGGGAAGAGCUCCGGGUAGAAGUGAUAGACCUACCGAACUUGGUGAUAGCUGGUUGCCUACAAAAUGAAUAGAAGUUCAGCCUCGUAUACCCUUACUCAAGAAACACAUUCUCAAGAUCUAUGGAAACGUACGAGAGUUAGUUGAAGGGGGUACAGCCCCUUUAACAAAGGAUACAACCUUCACAGGAGGAUAAAGAUCAUAAUGAAUAAAAUAUACUGUUCUAGUGGGCCUGAAAGCAGCCACCUAAACAGAAAGCGUUAAAGCUCGGACAGAACGAGAUUUAUUAUCCCGAUAAAAAAUCUAACUCCCCUAAUUGUAUUAGGCCAACCCAUGCCCACAUGGUGAGACUAUGCUAAAAUGAGUAACAAGAAGACUAGAUCUUCUCCCGCCACAAGUGUACGCCAGAUCGGACCAACCACUGGAGCUUAACGAGCCCAACCAAAGAGGGCAUUGUGAAUAAUGAGGGGGAAGGAACUCGGCAAACAUAAGCCUCGCCUGUUUACCAAAAACAUCGCCUUCUGCAAUGUAACGUAUAGAAGGUCCAGCCUGCCCAGUGACUACGGGUUCAACGGCCGCGGUAUAUUGACCGUGCAAAGGUAGCGCAAUCACUUGUCUUUUAAAUAGAGACCUGUAUGAAUGGCUAGACGAGGGCUUGACUGUCUCCCCCCUCCGGUCAGUGAAAUUGAUCUAUCCGUGCAGAAGCGGGUAUAAAUAUACAAGACGAGAAGACCCUUUGGAGCUUAAGGUACAAAAUUCAGCCAUGUUAAACAACUCUAUACAAAGCAAGAACUUUAUGGCCGUGAAAUUUUACCUUCGGUUGGGGCGACCGCGGAGGAAAAGCAAGCCUCCGAGUGGACUGGGCCAAGACCCCUAAAGCCAAAAGAAACAUCUUUAAGCCGCAGAACAUCUGACCAAAAAUGAUCCGACUAAAAAGCCGAUCAACGGACCAAGUUACCCUAGGGAUAACAGCGCAAUCCUCUCCCAGAGCCCAUAUCGACGAGGGGGUUUACGACCUCGAUGUUGGAUCAGGACAUCCUGAUGGUGCAGCCGCUAUCAAGGGUUCGUUUGUUCAACGAUUAAAGUCCUACGUGAUCUGAGUUCAGACCGGAGCAAUCCAGGUCAGUUUCUAUCUGUAACGCUACUUUUCCUAGUACGAAAGGAUCGGGAAAGAGGGGCCYAUGCUGACGCAUGCCCCACCCCUAAUUCAUGAAAACAAAUAAAUUAAAGAAGGGAGGGCCAAAACCCCUGCCGCCCAAGAUAAGGGCA
This 1621-nucleotide ribosomal RNA is filed under the name Agosia chrysogaster (longfin dace). Its description in RNAcentral is "partial 16S ribosomal RNA". It matches the Rfam family "Bacterial large subunit ribosomal RNA". The record is from RNAcentral. Lineage: Eukaryota; Metazoa; Chordata; Actinopteri; Cypriniformes; Leuciscidae.